RNAcentral lists this non-coding RNA (1634 nucleotides) under Pan troglodytes (chimpanzee). The record is from RNAcentral. Lineage: Eukaryota; Metazoa; Chordata; Mammalia; Primates; Hominidae.
GUUCCCAGGCUGGCCUUGUUGGGGAAGGUGGACUUUCCCUGGUGGUCAACAUCGCACCUACCAAUCAAAUCGUAAUUUCGUCGUUCGAGGCCCGUCCCUCUUCCGGACGCAAUUACCAAUGAGAAAUGCCCUUCCCCGACGUCUUUUUACCUGAUUGGUGCGCUCAUCAGUUCCCGGAAUACCUUUCCUACAACAGAUUGGCCAUCGCGGUGGUUGGCCUCGCCCCACAAAGCGAGGCGCUGGAGAAGACUUGAAGAUCAUUGGUGGAAGUGGAUGUCCCUCAAAGGUCUGCGCUAACUGCCUUUUGAUUGGUUGGAAGCGGCACUUACUACGUGGCGGAUUCUGACUGUGAAGAGGACGGUCCCAAGUGAAGAGGACGGUCCCAAGUGAAGAGUGGGAGGCAAGUCCCUUGUGACCGGGAGGAGGUCGACCUUAAAGGAGCUGGCAUUGUAGCUCUUCUAAAGCCUAGUCUACUUAGGAAGGCAAAAGCGAAGCAGCAAGAAGUGGCCACAGAAGCCGUGUGGUCCCUAGAAGUAGAAGGGUAAGGAGGGUGCAGGAGAUGGUCCUACUUGUGGCCGCAACGGGGCUCAGAAGUCCGCUUGUUAGAGAUGGCAGUGACCUGUGACAAUCCAGUCUGCCCGACACGCCUCCCGCCUCCUUAGAAACGGGAAGGAGCCCCGGCCCAGUGCACUGACGUAGUUAGCCUAAGAUCACGUAGCUGGUUGGUCACAGAAUCAUGACUUUAAUUCAUGUCUUCUGACUCUGACCUGGCACGCUUUGUACCUCACCAAAGACAGUGAUGAAACUGCAAAAGGGCAGAGUGGAGAAGACUGGAAUGUUCAGCCAAGGCAUUUGAACUUUUAAUGCUGCAAGUCAAGACUUCCCGAAGAUUUUUGAGCAGAUGAGUGAAGUGAUAAGAAAAUGCAUCUUCAGCAGUGACAGCAUCAACGAUGAGGAGACUGGCCGGGAGGCUAUUACCCGCAUCAAAACCAGUGAACAUUAAAAAAAAUUUUUUUUUUUAGAGAGAGGGUCUUGCUCUUUUGCCCAGGCUGGAGUGCAGUGGCUUGACCAUAGUUGACUAUAACCUUGAAUUCCUGCGUUCAAGCGAUCUUCCUUCCUCAGCUUCCGGAGUAGCUGGGACUACAGAUGCGUGCCACCAUGCCAGGCCAAUUUUUAAUUUUGUUUUGUAAAGAUGGGGUUUCUGUGUUGCCCAGGUAGGACAAAGAGGAAUGACAAAAGGCAUGUAACCACCUGAAUUUGCCCCUAUCAAAGAGCUCUCCAGGAAGCACCACCAAGGAAUUUUCACUGACAUUUCCCAGGCCAGACCAUGCUGCUGCUAAGCAAAAUGAGGAUUCUGCUAGUGAGGAUGAAAGGAAGAAUGUGUAAUCAGUUUUCUUGAAGUAUAAUACAUGUACAAUAAACUGAACCUAUUGGAAAUAUACAUUUGGAUGAGUUUUGACAGAUGUAUAUACCACAGUCAAGAUACAGAACAUUCCCAUCACUCCAAGAGAUUCUUUGUGUCCCUUUGUGGUCAAUCCCUCCUACCCGAGGCCCCUAGGUAACCGCUGAUCUGUUUUCCAUCACAAUAGAUUAGUCUGCAUAUUCUAGCAUCUUUAAUAAAUGCAGUCAUACAG